UUAUGGCCAAAACUGGACACAUAGUAAAAUAAAUAAAUACAUAAAUAAUCAUGUUAGAUUUACAAACAAACAAAAGUUCUACUAUCUAGCGGCAACAACAAAGUCUGGUUUACUGUAGCCGGAUUAGUCAAGGGAUUUGGAUUAGUGUUAGAGUUAAGGGUUAGGGUUAUUUAGGCCAUUUGCAUUUAAAUCUUUAUCUUUUUUCACAUUAACGAGUGUCAA
Molecule: non-coding RNA, 222 nt
Organism: Biomphalaria pfeifferi
Lineage: Eukaryota; Metazoa; Mollusca; Gastropoda; Planorbidae
Source: the annotation of a GenBank genome assembly